Molecule: non-coding RNA, 29 nt
Filed under: Callithrix jacchus (white-tufted-ear marmoset)
Lineage: Eukaryota; Metazoa; Chordata; Mammalia; Primates; Cebidae
Also listed under: 1 other name
Source: RNAcentral
CACGCAUCGACCUGGUAUUGCAGUACUUC